GCCAGGACGUAGCCUUGACGGGAAUGG
Molecule: non-coding RNA, 27 nt
Filed under: Rattus norvegicus (Norway rat)
Lineage: Eukaryota; Metazoa; Chordata; Mammalia; Rodentia; Muridae
Source: RNAcentral